GACGAACGCUGGCGGCGUGCUUAACACAUGCAAGUCGAACGGUGACCCAGGGCUUGCCCUGGUGAUCAGUGGCGAACGGGUGAGUAACACGUGGGCAACCUGCCCCUGACUUCGGGAUAACUCCUCGAAAGAGGAGCUAAUACCGGAUACGACCACUUCGGACAUCCGAUGGUGGUGGAAAGUUCUUCGGUCAGGGAUGGGCCCGCGGCCUAUCAGCUAGUUGGUGGGGUAAUGGCCUACCAAGGCGACGACGGGUAGCCGGCCUGAGAGGGCGACCGGCCACACUGGGACUGAGACACGGCCCAGACUCCUACGGGAGGCAGCAGUGGGGAAUAUUGCGCAAUGGGCGAAAGCCUGACGCAGCGACGCCGCGUGAGGGAUGAAGGCCUUCGGUUGUAAACCUCUUUCAGCAGGGACGAAGCGAAAGUGACGGUACCUGCAGAAGAAGCACCGGCUAACUACGUGCCAGCAGCCGCGGUAAU
Molecule: ribosomal RNA, 482 nt
Filed under: uncultured bacterium
Lineage: Bacteria
Description: bacterial SSU rRNA
Rfam family: Bacterial small subunit ribosomal RNA
Source: RNAcentral